This 550-nucleotide long non-coding RNA is filed under the name Ananas comosus (pineapple). RNAcentral's name for it is "long non-coding RNA (ACOM_LNC003910)". Lineage: Eukaryota; Viridiplantae; Streptophyta; Magnoliopsida; Poales; Bromeliaceae. The record is from RNAcentral.
UUUGUAAAUUAACUACAUAACUUUUUAGACAUAAAUUUUUGGAAAAACUUCAAAAAAACCCCCUAUGGUUUCACACUUUUUCACUUUAGUACCAUGUAGUUUAAAGUGUAUCAUGUUAGUACCCUGUGGUUUCUCACUUUAUCACUUUAGUACCCUGUGGUUUAAAGUGUAUAAAAUUAGUACCCUGUGAUUUUGCACUUUAUCACUUUAGUACCCUGUGGUUUCAUACUUUAUUACUUUAGUACCCUAUGGUUUAAAAAACCACAGGAUACUAACUUGAUACAAAAUUAAAAUCACAGAAUAUUAAAGUGAUAAAGUGCAAAAUCACAGAGUACUAACUUGAUACAUUUUAAAUUAUAGGGUACUAAAGUGAUAAAGUGAGAACCACAUUGUACUAACUUAAUACAUUUUAAACCACAGGGUACUAAAGUGAAAAAAAAUUGAAACCACAAGGGGGGUUUUCGAAGUUUUCCCUAAAUUUUUUAGAUAUUGUAAAUUUUAAAUAUUUAUUUAGAUUUUAAUUUUAUAAUCUUAAUAAUCAUUAAAUUAU